RNAcentral lists this long non-coding RNA (4835 nucleotides) under Marmota monax (woodchuck). Lineage: Eukaryota; Metazoa; Chordata; Mammalia; Rodentia; Sciuridae. The record is from RNAcentral.
AGUGGGAAGAUGGUCGGCAGGAUUAGACUCAGCCGUGGGUCUGGGUACUCUCCAGGCGAUGCUACUGAGGAAAUAACUUCAUCUUCCAGACACUUUGUCCCAGAUUUAGGUCGUCAACAGCACUUAGAUGGACACCGAGCGCCAAGCACCUCAGCUGCACUUACAGCCUGGAGCCCUCAAGGGGCCUGGCGAUGGACCACCCAGGCUGUCUGCCAAGGGUAAGCUGGGACCACGCCACUUUCACCUUGUCCCUAGUUAUGCCUAAACUUCUGAAGACCCAGGGCCUAAUAAGUGGAGGGCCAUGAUGCAGCAAAUGGGGACCCUAGGUAAAGGGCUGUCUCCUGCUCCGAACUGCUGAGCUUCUGCUGAAACCAGGCGGCCAGGCUGGCGGCUAGUUCAUUUCAGGAACCCAAGUCUAGGUAGAGGAUUAUGGAAAUGAGAGGUGUGUGGGAUGCUGACAAGGUUAGCAGUCAUCUGCUCUUUGAGAAACCAGGGCAGGGGCUCCGGAAGGGAAAUAAGUGAUGCAGGUAUGAUUUCUUUUCACUCAGAGAAGGCUUGGGCUUUCGGAUGCUGGGUUUGUCAUCAGGUAGUAACGUUGGAAACAUCUGUUACUUUUAGACACAAUGAGAUGUAGAGUAGAGAAGCUAAAACCAGGAACAUAUUUAAAUUUUGCCUAAGCAGAUAAUACAGAAUUGAAGUAGAAGACAAUUGUUUUGAUAAUUCAAAGGAAAGAAAGAAAUAGUCUCACUUAGGUGAGUUGGUAUUGGUCUGAGACAUGCAGAUGGUUUCCCACAUUUUCUAUUUCACUUGUCCAAGCUCAGCUGUUCUUAAAUGAAGUAAGUGCUUUCUUUUAACUUUUACAACAUGAGCAAAUUCUCACCUCUUUGUUAUGUCUUUCUCAGAGUUAUAGUAAGACUUGAUUUGAGUUUCCAGUUUGAAUUCCCAGAAUCAGCUGCACUGAAUCAUGUUGAGCUUUGAACAAUAGCCUCUAAUUGGUUGAUACCUCUGCAGUGGCAUUUAGUUACAGGGUUGUGUGGUUAAGAUGAACACAUGAAUGUGGGCAUAAUUAGCAAUUAAGGUUGUUUAUAAGGCUAGAAAACAACCAUUCCACAUUUCACAAAUACUCAGAGGGCAAAUGACUUUAACUAGUGCUUGGCUCCUGGACUUUUCAACCCUUUAAUCUUCCUAGCAGGACUGCUGGAGUCUAGAAGUUUACCCCACCCCGACCUCCUUAAAUGGGAGACCAGGGGGAAGUCUGGGUGAGUAGUGUGUUGCCAUCUCAGCAUUGACUUGGUUUCUCCACAAGUUCUACUGAAUUGGGUUCCUGAGAGGAGUGGCUGCCUUUCUAUCUUGUGUCCAGGGCCAUUAUAUAUCCUCCUGGCACACAAGUCCACUAGUUACUAAGUUCUUAUUUAUCCAGGUCAAAAAAGAGCAUUUGUUCCUUUGCCCAUGUUCUGCUUGGAGCUUAGCCCUAAACGUGGCAUUAGAGUUUCUCACGUUAGUUCUUACAGCUGCCUGCUGCACUUAUCCCCUUCCUGGCCUUGACUUUGCUAGGGAUUCUGCUUUUGAAACUUUGAUGCCCUAUACAAAUUGCCUUUUCUUAUUCACUUUUUUUCCAAUCAUAAUUUUCCCAAGGCCCAGCAUAGUACUGACCUCCCCAAUCAGAACUACUUUAAACCUCACGAGUUCUCGAUCCAGAUGGAGUGCUUUGAUGGCUCCCAGGUCCAGGUCCCUGGUUCCGCCUCUUCUGUGCUUCAUCCAGGGAUGCCCUGGCUUUUCACAGUUGCUACGCCAAUUCUAUUUUUAAAGGUGAGGUAAAUAUGAACUAGACAUUAAAGCAUUUAAAAAGUCAGGAAUGUUUAAAAUAACUGCUCAUUUUAUAAGCAUAACUUGAUUAGGAAAUGUUCCUAUGUUUUGUUUUCAACAAAAGGUCUUUAGUGAUUUCAGUAAUGUUAGCAAGUUGAAUGUCUUCCAUCAUAAGGAAAUGAGCCAUAAUUCAAUAAUGCAAUAUUAGUGUUUUAUUUCAAGUGUUCAAAUUUCAUUAUUUCUAAAUUUCAGUGGUUCAAAAUGACUUCCAAUCUUAUUAGGACAACCAGAUUGUUUUCUUCAUUUCCAAGCCUGUAAGUGAAGUGGAUCCACAAUUCUGCUUGGAAAGAUAACCCAUUCAAGUUGGAUGAAAAUGACAUCACAUCCACACCUGCAAAACCUAAAAUGUCUAAUAAAGCACAUUCCCAAGCCCGAACUUCAAUUUUAGGGCACAGCUGUAGAUGCAGGAUUGAUGCCAUCUGGUGUGAUUCUGCAGCAUAAGAUAAAUCUACCCGAGUGUGCCGUGCACUGGCUUUUCUGGGAAUGACAAGAUGCCAGGAUUUGUUUUUGGUUCCCUUGCAGGGGUGGAAAGUUGGAACUAGGUAAGUAAAAAAUACGCGAUUCCCUAUUUUCGACUUGACAUUCCACGUUCCCAAUUUUGUCUGUCAUUUCAAAAUAAGUGCACUAGAAUCGAAUUUUAAAUGUUUAAAAGUUUUAAGCAUUGUAAUGGUCAAAACAUUUUUGGAUAGUGGGAAACACUGACUUUUUGUGAGUCAUACUGAUCUCUGACUUUGAGAACACUGAAGACACUAAUGCAGUACAUAGGAAGUAUCUGCAGAGUUCUGUGCUUUGUUUCAGUGUUCAUAGCUAGUCUGUGGUACUUGUGCUUAUUUAAGCUAAAUUCAUAGUCAAAACUCUAGGGUCAUUAGCUGUAACUGCUGAUGUCUGUGUCACAUUCAAGAGAAAGUUAAGAAUUGAGUUGUAGAUCUUUGAUGUCGAUGUUUUGUUGUUUGUUUGAGUCAGAGAAACAAAUUCCUCAAUUCUCCAUUGCUUAUUUUGUCCAUACAAAAUUUCAAAACAGUGUGGAUUCAAUACAGAUCUGAUGACCUGAGAAGUAAGCAUGUUACCAUGCAUAGGUAAGCCAAAGGGCAGACCCGUGUUUGAAGAGCGAUCACAACAGGAUAAGCACGCAGGCAAAGUUUCCUAUGNCUGAUGACCUGAGAAGUAAGCAUGUUACCAUGCAUAGGUAAGCCAAAGGGCAGAACCGUGUUUGAAGAGCGAUCACAACAGGAUAAGCACGCAGGCAAAGUUUCCUAUGGAUUAAGCUAAAAAUCCAUCUCCUCAGCUGCUUCAUUAAAUGAGUCUGACCAUUUCUGCCGUUCUCUCUUUACAGGGAGAUCCCAAGAGGAGGCUGACUUGAAGCUGGGAGUCCUUAUACGCGGCCUGUGUCUUACUAGUGUGCCUGUGAAGUCACUUGAACUUACCACGUCAGAAUCUUCAGACAGGACGUCUUUUCUUUCAGAUGUAAAUCCCCCUUGGAUGGCUGUCUCCGUAACAGAGUAGGAAGUUGGCAAACAGUGGCUCACUUAGGGCUUUGUUCUUUUUCCUGUAACUCACACUGACGUGCUUUGGAGGUGGGUGACUACUGGUGUUGGCUCCCAGCUCACAGAAAGUCAGGCUUCAGGUGACACCUUUGGCUUUUUCCUACAGCUCCCCACCAGAAGGGGAAGCCCAAGGGGGCAGCUGGCUGUGCAGUCUGAAUCCACUUCCUUUUGAAGAGCUUUCUCAGAUGCUCAACACUGGCCAGCCCCCUGUUACUGGCUGCUGCCAUCUGGAGAUGGCUCGAGCAAUGCCUUCAACCAAAAUCUGCCUUCUCUUGGUGAGGGGUGAUGGCAGCACAUCUCAAGUGGACAAGUAGCCAUCUGUGCCCUGGUGACAAAAUCCCAUUGUGAAGGAGCACAAUGCUCGAAAUGGAUUGAGACAGUGGCCCCUUCCCAGCUGGUAGAACUCCAGGCAGCCUGCUCAGCUGGAGUGAGGGCUGGGAAGAGGCCAGGUGUUCCCACGGGGCGUGGGCAGGCUUGCCCGUGUGGGCAUCUUCUGGGGGACAUGGUCUCUCUGUGGAGGCUGGAUAGAGCACGAAGCCUUGCUCUUCUGCAUUACCGUCACUGUGUCCUCCCUAACUCCUGUCAGUCGGACUUUAGUGGAAUCUAGGUUUGCAUAUUUGGUGCCCAAAAAAGACCAUCCCUUUUAUGCACCAGGGAGAUAGUCUAUGCAAAGAAAGUCUUCCUUGCUUCCUCUUAUGACUCUGCCACCAAGCUAGGAAUAUCCUGGGAGAAUCGCCUCUCGGAGCUGCUUCCACGAGCAGCCCACAUCCUGGCAGAGCAGCGGGAGAAGAAUCACUUCCCACACCCAAGGCUGUCCAGAGAACUUUCCGUGAUGAUAGCAACGUUCCCUAUCUGCAGUCUCCGAUAUGGUAACCACUAGUCACAUGUGGCUGGUGCACACUUGAAGUGACUGAGUAGGUAACUCUGAAAUUUUACUUAUGUCAAUAAGGAAAACUAACCACAUGGCGCCAGUGGCUCUGGUAUUGGACACACAGUCCACAUCCUGCACUUCCUUGUGUUGCAGAGAGGUGGGAGAGUGUGGCCAGGGCCGUGCUUGGAGUCCCUUGGCCUUCAUUGUCUCACCCUGCAGUGGACCUUGUUUCCCCGAGGAAGAGGAGAAGUGGUUCUUUGGAACUGAAUUCAAGAUGCUGACUUGACGUGUAUGUUGCCCACCCUCUUGGGAUUCAUGAAUGUUUUGGGAGUAGGUCUCAGGAUUGCUUUUGGUGACAAAGGACGAUAAAGAAACCACAGUGCAGGUUCCCCUCGCCCUCUUAGUACCCGUUGUGUGUUCCUAAGUCAGAGUGUUUCCACGGUUUAUUUUGAUCUAUUGUGCAGGUUUUUUAAUUUUUGUAACAUUGUGACUUUUAAAUGAUUAUUCUGUGUAUGUUUUCCAAAAUACCUAGUGAUUUAUAUUUUUUAAAAAAG